This is a non-coding RNA of Ictidomys tridecemlineatus (thirteen-lined ground squirrel), 72 nucleotides long. Lineage: Eukaryota; Metazoa; Chordata; Mammalia; Rodentia; Sciuridae. The record is from Rfam.
UGGGUUGUAGCUCAGUGGUAGAGUAUUCAUCUCACACAUGUGAGACCCUGAGUUGGAUCCUCAGCACCACAU